UACGUAGGGUGCGAGCGUUAAUCGGAAUUACUGGGCGUAAAGCGUGCGCAGGCGGCUUUGCAAGACAGAUGUGAAAUCCCCGGGCUCAACCUGGGAACUGCAUUUGUGACUGCAUGGCUAGAGUACGGUAGAGGGGGAUGGAAUUCCGCGUGUAGCAGUGAAAUGCGUAGAUAUGCGGAGGAACACCGAUGGCGAAGGCAAUCCCCCGGACCUGUACUGACGCUCAUGCACGAAAGCGUGGGGAGCAAACAGG
This 253-nucleotide ribosomal RNA is filed under the name uncultured bacterium. Its description in RNAcentral is "partial 16S ribosomal RNA". It matches the Rfam family "Bacterial small subunit ribosomal RNA", at positions 524 to 776 of the family's 1533-position model. The record is from RNAcentral.